RNAcentral lists this ribosomal RNA (404 nucleotides) under uncultured bacterium. RNAcentral's name for it is "partial 16S ribosomal RNA". It matches the Rfam family "Bacterial small subunit ribosomal RNA", at positions 28 to 526 of the family's 1533-position model. The record is from RNAcentral.
GAUGAACGCUGACAGAAUGCUUAACACAUGCAAGUCAACUGUGGCGGACGGGUGAGUAACGCGUAAAGAACUUGCCUCACAGAUAGGGACAACCUUUGGAAACGAAUGCUAAUACCUGAUACUGUGAGAGAGCUUUGCGUCCCAUUAGCUAGUUGGAGAGGUAACGGCUCACCAAGGCGAUGAUGGGUAGCCGGCCUGCGAGGGUGAUCGGCCACAAGGGGACUGAGACACGGCACUUACGACUACGGGAGGCAGGAGUGGGGAAUAAUGGACAAUGGACCAAAGUCUGAUCCAGCAAUUCGGUGUGCAAGAUGAAGUUUUCGGAAUGGAAAGUGCUUUCAGUUGGGAAGCGGUACCAACAGAAGAAGUGACGGCUAAAUACGUGCCAGCCGCCGCGGUAAUUC